GAUGAACGCUGGCGGCGUGCCUAAUACAUGCAAGUCGAGCGAAUGGAUUAAGAGCUUGCUCUUAUGAAGUUAGCGGCGGACGGGUGAGUAACACGUGGGUAACCUGCCCAUAAGACUGAGAUAACCCCGGGAAACCGGGGCUGAUACCGGAUAACAUUUUGAACCGCAUGGUUCGACAUUGAAGGGAGGCUUCGGCUGUCACUCAUGGAUGUACGCGCGUCGCAUUAGCUAGUUGGUGAGGUAACGGCUCACCAAGGCAACGAUGCGUAGCCGACCUGAGAGGGUGAUCGGCCACACUGGGACUGAGACACGGCCCAGACUCCUACGGGAGGCAGCAGUAGGGAAUCUUCCGCAAUGGACGAAAGUCUGACGGAGCAACGCCGCGUGAGUGAUGAAGGCUUUCGGGUCGUAAAACUCUGUUGUUAGGGAAGAACAAGUGCUAGUUGAAUAAGCUGGCACCUUGACGGUACCUAACCAGAAAGCCACGGCUAACUACGUGCCAGCAGCCGCGGUAA
RNAcentral lists this ribosomal RNA (515 nucleotides) under uncultured bacterium. RNAcentral describes it as "partial 16S ribosomal RNA". It matches the Rfam family "Bacterial small subunit ribosomal RNA", at positions 28 to 523 of the family's 1533-position model. The record is from RNAcentral.